This 237-nucleotide unclassified non-coding RNA is filed under the name fungal sp. RNAcentral's name for it is "partial internal transcribed spacer region". The stretch from base 1 to 46 matches the Rfam family "Eukaryotic small subunit ribosomal RNA", at positions 1786 to 1831 of the family's 1831-position model. The record is from RNAcentral. Lineage: Eukaryota; Fungi.
AAGUCGUAACAAGGUUUCCGUAGGUGAACCUGCGGAAGGAUCAUUCAAAAUAAGUGUUUAAUGGCACUUGAAAUCCAUUACCCACCUUGUGUGCAUUGUAAAAAGGGGGAGAUUGGCGCGCAAGUGUCCCGUCUCUCCUUUUUCAUUACAUACUCUUUGUUUCACUGAUCAGUCUACAUCAAUGAGUAAUAAAAAAAAACUCUAAUACAACUUUCAACAACGGAUCUCUUGGCUCUC